Molecule: long non-coding RNA, 289 nt
Filed under: Mustela putorius furo (domestic ferret)
Lineage: Eukaryota; Metazoa; Chordata; Mammalia; Carnivora; Mustelidae
Description: lncRNA (ENSMPUG00000030486.1)
Source: RNAcentral
AACAUUUCCAAACCUCUGCUUGCAUUGCACAGCAAGGUCAACGCUGAUGAGAGCUGAGGCACGCUCGUGUGCUAAUCUGUCUUUCUAUAGGAUUUGCUGCUCCGUAAGAAAUUCUUAUUCAUCUCUAAAGGUCCUAUUUCUUGGGCGUCCUGGUCCAGAUAAUGCCUCCUUGCACGGUCAUUAUCUUGCAAACACUGCUGAUGAUGUGGAGGAUGGGAAAAAUCAUGGGGGAUGUCACACCUCUUGCCCGAGUUUGCCAAUGACCUUAGGCCAGACCUUCAGGUUUUGA